GAUGAACGCUAGCUACAGGCUUAACACAUGCAAGUCGAGGGGAAACGACAUCGAAAGCUUGCUUUUGAUGGGCGUCGACCGGCGCACGGGUGAGUAACGCGUAUCCAACCUGCCCACCACUUGGGGAUAACCUUGCGAAAGUAAGACUAAUACCCAAUGAUAUCUCUAGAAGACAUCUGAAAGAGAUUAAAGAUUUAUCGGUGAUGGAUGGGGAUGCGUCUGAUUAGCUUGUUGGCGGGGUAACGGCCCACCAAGGCGACGAUCAGUAGGGGUUCUGAGAGGAAGGUCCCCCCACAUUGGAACUGAGACACGGUCCAAACUCCUACGGGAGGCAGCAGUGAGGAAUAUUGGUCAAUGGGCGAGAGCCUGAACCAGCCAAGUAGCGUGCAGGAUGACGGCCCUAUGGGUUGUAAACUGCUUUUAUAGGGAAUAAAGUGAGUCUCGUGAGACUUUUUGCAUGUACCUUAUGAAUAAGGACCGGCUAAUUCCGUGCCAGCAGCCG
RNAcentral lists this ribosomal RNA (502 nucleotides) under uncultured bacterium. RNAcentral's name for it is "bacterial SSU rRNA". It matches the Rfam family "Bacterial small subunit ribosomal RNA", at positions 28 to 517 of the family's 1533-position model. The record is from RNAcentral.